CCGGUUGAUCCUGCCAGAGGUUACUGCUAUCGAGGUUCGACUAAGCCAUGCGAGUCGAAUGUAGCAAUACAUGGCGUACUGCUCAGUAACACGUGGAUAACCUGCCCUUAGAACGGGGAUAAACCCGGGAAACUGGGUAUAAUACCCGAUAGAUCUCGAUUGCUGGAAUGCAUCGAGCUUUAAAGCUCCGGCGUCUAAGGAUGGAUCUGCGGCCUAUCAGGUAGUAGUGGGUGUAGCGUACCUACUAGCCUACGACGGGUACGGGUUGUGAGAGCAAGAGCCCGGAGAUGGAUUCUGAGACACGAAUCCAGGCCCUACGGGGUGCAGCAGGCGCGAAAACUUUACAAUGCCGGCAACGGCGAUAAGGGGACCUCGAGUGCCAGGUUACAAAUCUGGCUGUCGUGAUGCCUAAAAAGCAUUGCAUAGCAAGGGCCGGGCAAGACCGGUGCCAGCCGCCGCGGUAACACCGGCGGCUCGAGUGGUAACCGUUAUUAUUGGGUCUAAAGGGUCUGUAGCCGGCCGGAUAAGUCUCUUGGGAAAUCUGGCAGCUUAACUGUCAGGCUUUCAGGAGAUACUGUCUGGCUCGAGGCCGGGAGAGGUGAGAGGUACUUCAGGGGUAGGGGUGAAAUCUCGUAAUCCUUGGGGGACCACCGAUGGCGAAGGCAUCCCACCAGAACGGGUCCGACGGUGAGGGACGAAAGCUGGGGGCACGAACCGGAUUAGAUACCCGGGUAGUCCCAGCUGUAGACGAUGCUCGCUAGGUGUCAGGUGCGGUGCGACCGCAUCUGGUGCCGUAGUGAAAACUUGAAGCGAGUCACCUGGGAAGUACGGUCGCAAGGCUGAAACUUAAAGGAAUUGGCGGGGGAGCACUACAACGGGUGGAGCCUGCGGUUCAAUUGGAUUCAACGCCGGG
Molecule: ribosomal RNA, 913 nt
Filed under: uncultured archaeon
Lineage: Archaea
Description: bacterial SSU rRNA
Rfam family: Archaeal small subunit ribosomal RNA
Source: RNAcentral